CAACAUAUCUCUUGAAACAAUUGUCAUUGAGAAGUGUUUAAAUCUUAAAUCUUUACCUGAUGACAUGAACAGGCUGACCAGUCUUCAAAAGGUUAUAUUACAGAAUUGUUCAAGCAUUGUCCGGUUUCCAGAAGGAGGUUUGCCUUCCACGAAACUGACAGAGCUCCGGAUUAACGGCUGUGAGAAACUGAUGGCCUUACCGAAUAACAUGCACAACCUCUCCUGUCUUCAAGAAUUGAGAAUAGAAAGAUGUCCAGGCAUUGUAUCCUUCCCUCAGGAUGGAUUUCCCACCAACCUUGCGUUCUUAAUGAUGAAAGAUGUCAACAUCUGCAAGCCUUUGUUCGAUUGGGGGCUACACAAACUCAACUCUCUUAGAAUACUGUACAUUAGAGGGGGGUGUGAUGACGUGGAAUCCUUUCCACAGGAGGAAAUGGAAAUGACACUUCCUACCUCUCUAACCACCAUACAGAUUUGAGAACUUUCCAAAUUUAGAAAGGCUAUCUUCAGUGGUUCAAAGCCUCACUUCCUUAAAGAAACUAUCUAUCCUUCAUUGUCCAAAGCUCAAAUACUUUACAGAGCAGGGCCUGCCUCCGUCGCUUUUGAAACUAUAUAUUGAUGAGUGUCCUUUGCUAGAAGAAAGGUGCAAGAAGGAUGAAGGACUCUAUUGGCCCAUGAUAGCCCACCUACCUCCUGUCUCCAGAGGUUGGAGUGUAAACCUCUGGUAACUCAUAAGAAGAGGACUGAAUUCAAUUCAGUUUCAUAAACCAUCAUUCCCAGUUAUUUCUAAGAAUCAACUGAACACAUAAUCAGCGGAGCAUCAUUUCCUGAUAUUGAAUCCUUUUCGGAGAAUUGGCAUUCGAUAUAAAGUUCUUAUAUCAAGUAAUACAGUGUUCUGGUUGAACGGAUGAGAAAGGUUUCGGUGAUCAAACAUGGUAAACAGGAGAAACAUCUCAUCUUAAGAUGGAAAAAUGGAAGUUUUUGCUUGAUUGUGUUUAAUUGUUUCCCUACUUGAAUAGGAAUAUGCUUUAAAAAUUGGCACAUUAUGUGUUGGCAUCAAAGGGAUGUUGGCUUCACAAUACUCAGGAAUACACACUGCAGUGUUCUUAUAAAUUCUGGAAAUGAAAUAGACAAAAUUAUGAAGCUCAAGAGCUAGAACAGAAAAUGAAGGAUCUAGCAAAUUAACUACAGAGCAAUUGUUGAAGAACUAUAUUACAUGAAAUUUCACUUUGUUUGCCUCUGAUAAAUUGUUGGAAGCAAGCAGAAAUCGUUAAUUCAGCCAUUAGAGGUCGCUUCACGGUGAUGUUAUGUCUCGGUGUAUCCUGCUGACUAUUUUCUGAUACGAAUCCUAUUGCUGGCAGUCUCAGC
Molecule: long non-coding RNA, 1365 nt
Organism: Pistacia vera
Lineage: Eukaryota; Viridiplantae; Streptophyta; Magnoliopsida; Sapindales; Anacardiaceae
Exons: 4
Source: RefSeq, a predicted model, not a curated record